Molecule: long non-coding RNA, 236 nt
Filed under: Solanum tuberosum (potato)
Lineage: Eukaryota; Viridiplantae; Streptophyta; Magnoliopsida; Solanales; Solanaceae
Description: long non-coding RNA (STUB_LNC007261)
Source: RNAcentral
UACCUAUACACGACUAUGUACAAACUAGAUGACACAGACCUAUAUUCAAUAACUCCUAAAACCCUAAAUCCUUAACCUAAAACCCUAAAUCCUAAACCUAAAACCCUAAGAAACCCUAGACCCUAAACCUUAAGAAACCCUUAAUCCUAUAGAUCCAAAAAAAUAAACCCUAAAAACCAUUUAAAACCCAUAAAAACCCUAAACAAUAAACCCUAAAUCCUUAAAAUCCGUCAGCC